UUAGCUUCACGAGACCUAUUAAGAAUAGAAUUUCUUGUAGGCUUUGUGACCAGGGGGAUUAACGCUGCUUUCCCAAGACAGGUUUAUAAGUGAUUAUGAUCUUCAGGCUUUGCCUAACCAGGUUGGCUGGCUGGUGCUGACGGGACGGAGCUGAGGCUAGAGUUAAAAUUCAUAUGUUAGACUUCCGCUGUAGCAAUUACUCUUAUACAUCUUUUGUUUUCUCAACUUAAGAUGACUUCAUGUCGAGCUUAAAUUUGAAAUUCUAGUUUUAUGCUAAUGAAUGUUGGUUGUCAGAAACAUGAAACAAAACUUGUGAUCCAAAGGGGCAUAGCCCGACUUUCUAUCCUAUUUUGGGUUUUAACGAGGUA
Molecule: long non-coding RNA, 368 nt
Organism: Salvia miltiorrhiza (redroot sage)
Lineage: Eukaryota; Viridiplantae; Streptophyta; Magnoliopsida; Lamiales; Lamiaceae
Exons: 2
Source: RefSeq, a predicted model, not a curated record